GAUCAUGGCUCAGAGUGAACGCUGGCGGCAGGCCUAAUACAUGCAAGUCGAACGGCAGCACAGUGGAGCUUGCUCCAUGGGUGGCGAGUGGCGGACGGGUGAGGAAUACAUGGGAAUCUGCCCAGUCGUGGGGGAUAACGUAUGGAAACGUACGCUAAUACCGUAUGCGCCCUUCGGGGGAAAGUCGGGGACCGCAAGGCCUGACGCGAUUGGAUGAGCCCAUGUUCGAUUAGCUAGUUGGCGGGGUAACGGCCCACCAAGGCGACGAUCGAUAGCUGGUCUGAGAGGAUGAUCAGCCACACUGGAACUGAGACACGGUCCAGACUCCUACGGGAGGCAGCAGUAGGGAAUAUUGGACAAUGGGCGCAAGCCUGAUCCAGCCAUGCCGCGUGAGUGAAGAAGGCCCUCGGGUUGUAAAGCUCUUUUGUUGGGGAAGAAAAGCAGUUGGUUAAUACCCGAUUGUUCUGACGGUACCCAAAGAAUAAGCACCGGCUAACUUCGUG
This 503-nucleotide ribosomal RNA is filed under the name uncultured bacterium. RNAcentral's name for it is "bacterial SSU rRNA". It matches the Rfam family "Bacterial small subunit ribosomal RNA", at positions 15 to 507 of the family's 1533-position model. The record is from RNAcentral.